RNAcentral lists this ribosomal RNA (253 nucleotides) under uncultured bacterium. RNAcentral's name for it is "partial 16S ribosomal RNA". It matches the Rfam family "Bacterial small subunit ribosomal RNA", at positions 524 to 776 of the family's 1533-position model. The record is from RNAcentral.
UACGAAGGGGGCUAGCGUUGCUCGGAAUUACUGGGCGUAAAGCGCACGUAGGCGGAUUGUUAAGUCAGGGGUGACAUCCCGGAGCUCAACUCCGGAACUGCCUUUGAUACUGGCGAUCUUGAGUUCGGGAGAGGUGAGUGGAACUGCGAGUGUAGAGGUGAAAUUCGCAGAUAUUCGCAAGAACACCAGUGGCGAAGGCGGCUCACUGGCCCGAUACUGACGCUGAGGUGUGAAAGCGUGGGGAGCAAACAGG